This 1103-nucleotide ribosomal RNA is filed under the name Leuconostoc garlicum. RNAcentral describes it as "bacterial SSU rRNA". It matches the Rfam family "Bacterial small subunit ribosomal RNA", at positions 342 to 1437 of the family's 1533-position model. Lineage: Bacteria; Bacillati; Bacillota; Bacilli; Lactobacillales; Lactobacillaceae. The record is from RNAcentral.
CGGGAGGCUGCAGUAGGGAAUCUUCCACAAUGGGCGAAAGCCUGAUGGAGCAACGCCGCGUGUGUGAUGAAGGCUUUAGGGUCGUAAAGCACUGUUGUAUGGGAAGAAAUGCUAGAAUAGGGAAUGAUUCUAGUUCGACGGUACCAUACCAGAAAGGGACGGCUAAAUACGUGCCAGCAGCCGCGGUAAUACGUAUGUCCCGAGCGUUAUCCGGAUUUAUUGGGCGUAAAGCGAGCGCAGACGGUUGAUUAAGUCUGAUGUGAAAGCCCGGAGCUCAACUCCGGAAUGGCAUUGGAAACUGGUUAACUUGAGUGUUGUAGAGGUAAGUGGAACUCCAUGUGUAGCGGUGGAAUGCGUAGAUAUAUGGAAGAACACCAGUGGCGAAGGCGGCUUACUGGACAACAACUGACGUUGAGGCUCGAAAGUGUGGGUAGCAAACAGGAUUAGAUACCCUGGUAGUCCACACCGUAAACGAUGAAUACUAGGUGUUAGGAGGUUUCCGCCUCUUAGUGCCGAAGCUAACGCAUUAAGUAUUCCGCCUGGGGAGUACGACCGCAAGGUUGAAACUCAAAGGAAUUGACGGGGACCCGCACAAGCGGUGGAGCAUGUGGUUUAAUUCGAAGCAACGCGAAGAACCUUACCAGGUCUUGACAUCCUUUGAAGCUUUUAGAGAUAGAAGUGUUCUCUUCGGAGACAAAGUGACAGGUGGUGCAUGGUCGUCGUCAGCUCGUGUCGUGAGAUGUUGGGUUAAGUCCCGCAACGAGCGCAACCCUUAUUGUUAGUUGCCAGCAUUCAGUUGGGCACUCUAGCGAGACUGCCGGUGACAAACCGGAGGAAGGCGGGGACGACGUCAGAUCAUCAUGCCCCUUAUGACCUGGGCUACACACGUGCUACAAUGGCGUAUACAACGAGUUGCCAACCCGCGAGGGUGAGCUAAUCUCUUAAAGUACGUCUCAGUUCGGACUGCAGUCUGCAACUCGACUGCACGAAGUCGGAAUCGCUAGUAAUCGCGGAUCAGCACGCCGCGGUGAAUACGUUCCCGGGUCUUGUACACACCGCCCGUCACACCAUGGGAGUUUGUAAUGCCCAAAGCCGGUGCCUAA